GACGAACGCUGGCGGCGUGCCUAAUACAUGCAAGUCGAGCGGAACUUAGAAAGCUUGCUUUCUAAGUUUAGCGGCGGACGGGUGAGUAACACGUGGGCAACCUGCCUAUAAGACUGGGAUAACUUCGGGAAACCGGAGCUAAUACCGGAUAAUAUAAAAGAUCACAUGGUCUUUAUUGAAAGAUGGCUUCGGCUAUCACUUAUAGAUGGGCCCGCGGCGCAUUAGCUAGUUGGUGAGGUAAUGGCUCACCAAGGCGACGAUGCGUAGCCGACCUGAGAGGGUGAUCGGCCACACUGGGACUGAGACACGGCCCAGACUCCUACGGGAGGCAGCAGUAGGGAAUCUUCCGCAAUGGACGAAAGUCUGACGGAGCAACGCCGCGUGAGCGAUGAAGGCCUUCGGGUCGUAAAGCUCUGUUGUUAGGGAAGAACAAGUAUCGUUCGAAUAGGGCGGUACCUUGACGGUACCUAACCAGAAAGCCACGGCUAACUACGUG
Molecule: ribosomal RNA, 496 nt
Filed under: uncultured bacterium
Lineage: Bacteria
Description: bacterial SSU rRNA
Rfam family: Bacterial small subunit ribosomal RNA
Source: RNAcentral